GCCAUUCCAGACAGUGAUGGAAAAGAUAGGUAAUUCUAACUAACUGAUGAUCAGAACUGAUUAACUCUGAGGGUGAUAGGUGGUAGCUUCCUCGUUUGUGCCACACCUGAAACCAGUCGAGUGGUGAAGUUGUCAGACCAGGCACUUCUCUAUGAGACAUGGGACCGACUGGACUAUAAAUGUGGACAAUACAAUUCUUUUGUAGAGGUUUUUUGACAACUGCUCUGGGUUGUUUGAAGUCCAACACUAAAAUACUUGACUGAAUCUUCCAUGGAAUCAUCUUGAAUAUGGACAAUACUCAAAUCGAUUGCCUUUGUUGUUACUGACAGACUGAAAAGAGAUAUACUAUGACUCUGCAACAGUUCAUGGCAACUAAGACUAGGAAGAUAUUAUAAAAUACUGAACUAAAAGGUUGAAGCAUAUCAAAACAGCUACAGCCAGUACUGCGGUGAACACCACCUCAGCUGAGGGACAGCACAAGACUUUUUUUCUCUUUUGAGUUUUUUUUGCCUUUUCAUGCCUUUAUUUGAUAGACAGGAAAGGGGGGUAGAGCAAGAGGGGAUGACACACAGCUAAAUGCCACAGGUUGGAUUCAAACCUGGGCAGCUGCAGCAACUCCGUAGAUGGGUUGGCUGCUCUACCGACUGAGCCAACCGGGCGCCCAACACAAGACUUUCAAUGACAGCAAUAUGUUGUCACAGAACUGUACAAAACAGUGGAUGUUCUUGUCAGAUUGGCAUCUUUGGUCAACCCAAUUAGGAUCUUAUUUAAAAAUCUUUUUAGUUUCUGUGGAAGCAAAUGACAAGAAGAAGAUUCAACAACACAUGGAAUAUUGGCGAUCACUCUAAAAUGACAACAGGAUUAAUUGUUACAACUCUACAAACAGGGAGGCAACGUCUCCAGCAACACGCCCUCAUCUUUGGGCGAAGGAUCGGCGCAGCAGAGUUAUUUAGCCAUAUUCCGCCAUUUUGAAACAUCAUGUUUCUACAGUAGCCCAGCAUCGACAUACCGAAGACUGGCUUCACAUUGGGACCUUUUACA
Long non-coding RNA from Dicentrarchus labrax (European seabass), 1041 nucleotides. RefSeq lists it as uncharacterized. The record is from RefSeq and is a predicted model, not a curated record. The transcript has 3 exons. Lineage: Eukaryota; Metazoa; Chordata; Actinopteri; Moronidae.